CAGCAGCCACGGGAAUACGAAGGGUGCAAGCGUUAAUCGGAAUCACUGGGCAUAAAGCGUGCGUAGGCGGUGAGUUAAGUCUGCUGUGAAAUCCCCGGGCUCAACCUGGGAAUGGCAGUGGAUACUGGCUCGCUAGAGUGUGUCAGAGGAUGGUGGAAUUCCCGGUGUAGCGGUGAAAUGCGUAGAGAUCGGGAGGAACAUCAGUGGCGAAGGCGGCCAUCUGGGACAACACUGACGCUGAGGCACGAAAGCGUGGGGAGCAAACAGGAUUAGAUACCCCCGUAGUCCCUGUCUCUUAUAC
Molecule: ribosomal RNA, 301 nt
Filed under: uncultured bacterium
Lineage: Bacteria
Description: partial 16S ribosomal RNA
Rfam family: Bacterial small subunit ribosomal RNA
Source: RNAcentral